ACAGACCCUGGCGCUGCCACCUCCGGCACGUUUCUCGUCAUCCCUGUUCUUACAGAUGUUUUUUUCUUCUUUCGGAGGCGGCACAAACAACUACUUGAAAACUACCAGCGACUUUGAUCAAGAAGAGGGGCUGGCGUGGCUGACCGGGCAGUCAUGGCAAUGCAGGCUUCUCCCGGGUUUUCCUUCCAGCGGCACGAGCCCAUGAUGGGGAAGGCAGACCCACAGCCCGGGAGGUGCGGGGCGCCCGCCGGCAUAACCUUCGCGGCAACUCAGGCACCGCGCUGAAAAUCUGUGUGUGCUGUUUUAGGAGUAUCCCCCUCACACCGUUUCCCCAGAAUAUCAAUUGUUAACGCUUGUGUGAAAGGAGAACAAGGCUGGAGGCGGGGGAGCCUGCCUAGUAUUACUGCGGUACAUGCCCGCUGUCCGGCGUGCCCGGCGUUGGGCAGCCUGGCCUCUCGGAUGUUUCAGGAGUUUCUCUCCUCUCCAGCUAGCCAUUUGCGUUACAUUGCUUUCCAGGCCAUGGUGGGAGGAUGGCAGAGAUGGCAGACGGGUCAGGCUACCAGCCAACACAGGGACCAUGAGACAGGAGCAAGCAGACUGAGUGACGUGCCGGUGAGAGAUUUGGCACAGCAAAAGAGUGAAAGCCUAUUAAUUACCGAACUCACAGCACCAGCAGAAGCGACUGCCCAUUCUCCUGUUCUUCAGUCCCAUUUGGCUGAUGGAAAAUCUGGGUAAAAUGUGUUGUCCAGGUGUGGCCUCAAGACACCACUUUUGGAGCAACUCCCUUCAACUGGAACUCAGACCUUGUUGCUGCCAGUCAUGGCCUGGCAGGAGCGUUACUUCUGAACAACAGCAGCAGUGUUUCAAGGAAAUGACUAACCUCUUCUUUUUCCAGAGGAUCCCUACUACCACUGGUAUGUAGGAUGGAAGAUAUGUAGUCUGAGGAUAUACUGAGACUGUGUAGUCUAUCUUGUUAGUUAGAAAAGAAAGCAAACGAGGAUUCUAGGAAGAAAAAAGGGCAAUGUAUUAAAAUAAUUAAAUGCCAUCCCAGACUCCAACAGACUCCUUGUCUCUGAGCAAUUAUGAAUAAUACUGGGUACAUGGGAUGAAAUUUAAUUUAGACUGCAGUUUCAUAGUCACUUCAAGCUAAUCUAAGUUGGCACAGAUUAUGAAAAGAGGAACCGUGCCUGCCUGUUUGUCCCUAACAAAGCCAUUCCCUCUUUUUUUCCCCCUCUUACCACCACAGCUUCACACACAGAGCAGCUUUAUUUGUCUGUGCAUGGCAUGCAGAGGGGCAGGCAGUGUGCCAAGAGGGACAAGCCCGCUGCUCCCAGAAAUACUUUCAGUCUCCCCAUGCCCUCUUCUUGGUUACAGCCAUCCUGAUUACAACAGGCAAAAAACCCCAAUGGACAACAGGGAAAGGUUUUGCUAACCCAGAUAAGUUUCCUGUUUUGGGGUGGGGUGGGGUGGGAUAGGAGGGUGGUGCAGUUAUGUCUUCAAGCUGUGAUGACAGUACAGCAACAUACCUUGAGUACUGUGAAACAAGGGAGCAGUAAAGAUACUUGGACUAGAAAUGCCCUGGAGUAGGCACUAAUUCUGGCAUUUCCUAGCUUAACACUGUUUUAUAUUAUUGGUGUGUAACAUAUUAACUUCUAGAGGUCACAGCCCAUCAGCCCUGAUUCACUGGUGACUUGUCCGGAUAAAUACAGGCAAGCGCAAUGCUGUCUAUUCUAGACAUGGA
This is a long non-coding RNA of Manacus vitellinus (golden-collared manakin), 1741 nucleotides long. NCBI's taxonomy places the organism in Eukaryota, Metazoa, Chordata, Aves, Passeriformes, Pipridae. The record is from Ensembl.